RNAcentral lists this ribosomal RNA (335 nucleotides) under uncultured eukaryote. RNAcentral describes it as "partial 18S ribosomal RNA". It matches the Rfam family "Eukaryotic small subunit ribosomal RNA", at positions 1470 to 1796 of the family's 1831-position model. The record is from RNAcentral.
CCCUUAGAUGUUCUGGGCCGCACGCGUGCUACACUGGUGAAUACAGCGAGUGUCCAUUCCCUUGACCGAAAGGUCUGGGUAAUCUUAUGAAAGUUCAUCGUGACAGGGAUUGAUCAUUGCAAUUAUUGAUCAUGAACGAGGAAUUCCUAGUAAAGGCGAGUCAUCAUCUCGCUUUGAUUACGUCCCUGCCCUUUGUACACACCGCCCGUCGCUACUACCGAUUGAAUGGUUUAGUGAGAUCUCCGGAUCGGCGGCCUUGGUACCUUCACGGGUCCAACGGUUCUGCCGAGAAGCUGCUCGAACUUGAUCAUUUAGAGGAAGUAAAAGUCGUAACA